Molecule: long non-coding RNA, 308 nt
Organism: Tyto alba (common barn owl)
Lineage: Eukaryota; Metazoa; Chordata; Aves; Strigiformes; Tytonidae
Exons: 3
Source: RefSeq, a predicted model, not a curated record
GUAGCACGGCUGAAACCACUGCAGAGGAAACGUUGUUUGGCUACUGAGAAAUAGUUUAGCUGGAGAGAGAAAGAAUACGCCUGCGGCUGUUUCUUGCUCCAUGGAAGUAAGCAAAAGGAGUUAAUUGAAUUAAAUCCUGAAUCUGGGUCGGUAGGAGUAAGGCAGACUUAAAUAUGAAGCCUAAACUGCGUUCGAGCUUGGGCAGACACUAGGAAAGUCUUGGAGUGCAAAUCUAUUUAGGCUGCCUGGAGACUGACAAGGCACACGAGAGGAAGCACUGCAGUCUGCCAGGAGAAGAGGACAUUUGG